Molecule: ribosomal RNA, 253 nt
Filed under: uncultured bacterium
Lineage: Bacteria
Description: partial 16S ribosomal RNA
Rfam family: Bacterial small subunit ribosomal RNA
Source: RNAcentral
UACAUGGGGUGCAAACGUUGCUCGGAAUUAUUGGGCGUAAAGCGCGCGUAGGCGGUUACUCAAGUCGGAUGUGAAAGCCCUCGGCUUAACUGAGGAAGUGCACCCGAAACUGAGUAGCUAGAGUACUAAAGAGGGUCGCGGAAUUCCCGGUGUAGAGGUGAAAUUCGUAGAUAUCGGGAGGAACACCGGUGGCGAAGGCGGCGACCUGGGUAGAUACUGACGCUGAGGCGCGAAAGCUAGGGGAGCAAACAGG